GAUGAACGCUGGCGGCGUGCCUAAUACAUGCAAGUCGAGCGAAUGGAUUAAGAGCUUGCUCUUAUGAAGUUAGCGGCGGACGGGUGAGUAACACGUGGGUAGCCUGCCCAUAAGACUGGGAUAACUCCGGGAAACCGGGGCUAAUACCGGAUAACAUUUUGAACCGCAUGGUUCGAAAUUGAAAGGCGGCUUCGGCUGUCACUUAUGGAUGGACCCGCGUCGCAUUAGCUAGUUGGUGAGGUAACGGCUCACCAAGGCAACGAUGCGUAGCCGACCUGAGGGUGAUCGGCCACACUGGGACUGAGACACGGCCCAGACUCCUACGGGAGGCAGCAGUAGGGAAUCUUCCGCAAUGGACGAAAGUCUGACGGAGCAACGCCGCGUGAGUGAUGAAGGCUUUCGGGUCGUAAAACUCUGUUGUUAGGGAAGAACAAGUGCUAGUUGAAUAAGCUGGCACCUUGACGGUACCUAACCAGAAAGCCACGGCUAACUACGUGCCAGCCGCCGCGGUAA
This 513-nucleotide ribosomal RNA is filed under the name uncultured bacterium. Its description in RNAcentral is "partial 16S ribosomal RNA". It matches the Rfam family "Bacterial small subunit ribosomal RNA", at positions 28 to 523 of the family's 1533-position model. The record is from RNAcentral.